GCCCCGGUGGUGUAGCCCGGCUAGCAUACCGGCCUGUCGAGCCGGUGGACCCGGGUUCAAAUCCCGGCCGGGGCG
RNAcentral lists this transfer RNA (75 nucleotides) under Candidatus Geothermarchaeota archaeon. Its description in RNAcentral is "tRNA-Asp". It matches the Rfam family "tRNA". Rfam says of the family: Transfer RNA (tRNA) molecules are approximately 80 nucleotides in length. Their secondary structure includes four short double-helical elements and three loops (D, anti-codon, and T loops). RNAcentral also lists the same sequence under 1 other name. Lineage: Archaea; Thermoproteati; Candidatus Geothermarchaeota. The record is from RNAcentral.